This 253-nucleotide ribosomal RNA is filed under the name uncultured bacterium. RNAcentral's name for it is "partial 16S ribosomal RNA". It matches the Rfam family "Bacterial small subunit ribosomal RNA", at positions 524 to 776 of the family's 1533-position model. The record is from RNAcentral.
UACGUAGGGCGCAAGUGUUGUCCGGAAUUAUUGGGCGUAAAGAGCUCGUAGGCGGUUUGUCGCGUCUGCUGUGAAAACCUAAGGCUCAACCUUGGGCUUGCAGUGGGUACGGGCAGACUAGAGUGCGGUAGGGGUGACUGGAAUUCCUGGUGUAGCGGUGGAAUGCGCAGAUAUCAGGAGGAACACCAAUGGCGAAGGCAGGUCACUGGGCCGCAACUGACGCUGAGGAGCGAAAGCAUGGGGAGCGAACAGG